This 401-nucleotide long non-coding RNA is filed under the name Musa acuminata (dwarf banana). RNAcentral describes it as "long non-coding RNA (MACU_LNC011851)". The record is from RNAcentral. Lineage: Eukaryota; Viridiplantae; Streptophyta; Magnoliopsida; Zingiberales; Musaceae.
GCGAGUUCCGAUGAGCUUCUUCGGCAAGCUCCGAUCUUUCUCGGCGAGCUUCGCGAACUUCCAACGAACCUUCCGGCGAGCUUCCGAAAAACCCUUCGGCAAGCUCCCUACUCAUUCUCGGUUAGUUCCGGCAGCAUUCCCGACGAACCUUCGGACUUCCGUCGAACUCUCGAACUCCCAACGAAUCCUUCGCGCUUGACUCCGGCACUUUGUUUUGCUUUAUGUCUUUGUCGUUAUCAUAGUUAAUCCUGCACACACAAGCAAAUACUCUACUCCGAUCUAGACAAUUAUUAUAACGCAAAUUGACAUUCUAUUGCCCGGCACGUCAUUGGUUGGCGCUUCGUCCGAUUCUUCGGUGCAUCGUCCUCUCUUGCGGCUUGUUGCCCAAUCGGCGGUUGACC